RNAcentral lists this ribosomal RNA (253 nucleotides) under uncultured bacterium. RNAcentral's name for it is "partial 16S ribosomal RNA". It matches the Rfam family "Bacterial small subunit ribosomal RNA", at positions 524 to 776 of the family's 1533-position model. The record is from RNAcentral.
UACGUAGGGUGCGAGCGUUAAUCGGAAUACUGGGCGUAAAGCGUGCGCAGGCGGUGAUGUAAGACAGGUGUGAAAUCCCCGGGCUUAACCUGGGAACUGCAUUUGUGACUGCAUCGCUGGAGUGCGGCAGAGGGGGAUGGAAUUCCGCGUGUAGCAGUGAAAUGCGUAGAUAUGCGGAGGAACACCGAUGGCGAAGGCAAUCCCCUGGGCCUGCACUGACGCUCAUGCACGAAAGCCGUGGGGAGCAAACAGG